Molecule: non-coding RNA, 1025 nt
Organism: Corylus avellana
Lineage: Eukaryota; Viridiplantae; Streptophyta; Magnoliopsida; Fagales; Betulaceae
Source: RefSeq, a predicted model, not a curated record
UAACGGACCAGAGUGGCCCAAGAUAGCCCACAUUCCUUACGUAAAUAUUGAUCGUAGGUUCGUGUUUGACUCAGAAUAGGAGGAAUCCAUGCCUGACUCGGAAGAGGAGGAUGAGGGAGGUCUAUCAUCAAUUGACCCGCAGAUUUUGCUUAAUGUAAGACAACUGUUGAGAAAUAUAUCGAAAGAGCCGUGGGCGGGUCCACUAUGCAAGUCAUCACCAUGAGCCACACAUCACGCUGUUCAAGAGGCCUCUAAACUGUUAGUAGCAGGAGGAGAACAUGCAUCGUCCCGCACAAAUAUACAUGUAAUCUCUCCAAGUAGAGUUCAUAUUUCCCUAAGAAACAAUCUGGAUGUUUUGGAACUUAGGUUUGUAUAAUUGUGAAUUUUCCUGUUUCGGAAUUUUAUGCUUGUCAUUGGCAUUGCGUUGAUAUAAAAGGUUCUUUUGUUUUUGUCUGAAUGUUUGCGUUGGAGAGAUCACGUUGCUCCUAUUUAUUAAUGUACUUGUUGGGUUCACAUAAAUGCAUAACAAGUGUUUGUUGAAUUGCCUCACCCACCAAGCAGAGAGUGAAAGCCUCCGAACAUUGAAUUUUGUCAUUACUAUGCCUGCCUUAGUUGGCUUGACAAAAGAGAAGAAACUUGUAAGUUCAACACUCCCAGCCCAAACACCAAACCUAGAGCAUAUGUUGCAUUUUCUCCAAUGAUUUGGCAUCACACCUUUUGUAUGUGGAAACCGAAGUGUUCAAUGAAGAAAAUGCUGGUCCUGAACAGAAUGAACGGCCUAUGAAUGGGGUUCAACAGGGUUGAUAUAAGAGGCUCUUUUGUUUGUGUCUGAAUGUUGGUGUUGGAAAGAUCUUCUUGUUCCUAUCUCUGAAUGUUGGCAUCACACCCUUUGUAGGUGGAAACCAAAGUGUUCAAUGCAGAAAAUGCUUGUCCUGAGCAGGAAGGAUAUUGAUGUGUCUUAGGUGUAGAGAAGGGAAGGGAUUAUCCUAAUGCAGUAUCCCCAGGAACAAACUGAUCAAGAUUAU